Molecule: ribosomal RNA, 427 nt
Filed under: uncultured bacterium
Lineage: Bacteria
Description: bacterial SSU rRNA
Rfam family: Bacterial small subunit ribosomal RNA
Source: RNAcentral
CUACGGGAGGCAGCAGUGAGGAAUAUUGGUCAAUGGGCGGGAGCCUGAACCAGCCAAGUAGCGUGAAGGACGACGGCCCUACGGGUUGUAAACUUCUUUUAUAAGGGAAUAAAGUUCGCCACGUGUGGUGUUUUGUAUGUACCUUAUGAAUAAGCAUCGGCUAAUUCCGUGCCAGCAGCCGCGGUAAUACGGAAGAUGCGAGCGUUAUCCGGAUUUAUUGGGUUUAAAGGGAGCGUAGGCGGGCUUUUAAGUCAGCGGUCAAAUGCCACGGCUCAACCGUGGCCAGCCGUUGAAACUGUAAGCCUUGAGUCUGCACAGGGCACAUGGAAUUCGUGGUGUAGCGGUGAAAUGCUUAGAUAUCACGAAGAACUCCGAUCGCGAAGGCAUUGUGCCGGGGCAGCACUGACGCUGAGGCUCGAAAGUGCGG